CCUACGGGGGGCAGCAGUGGGGAAUAUUGGACAAUGGGCGAAAGCCUGAUCCAGCCAUGCCGCGUGUGUGAAGAAGGCCUUUGGGUUGUAAAGCACUUUCAGUGGGGAAGAAAGCCUUGGGGCUAAUACCCUCGAGGAAGGACAUCACCCACAGAAGAAGCACCGGCUAACUCCGUGCCAGCAGCCGCGGUAAUACGGAGGGUGCGAGCGUUAAUCGGAAUUACUGGGCGUAAAGCGCGCGUAGGCGGUCUGAUAAGCCGGUUGUGAAAGCCCCGGGCUCAACCUGGGAACGGCAUCCGGAACUGGCAGGCUAGAGUGCAGGAGAGGAAGGUAGAAUUCCCGGUGUAGCGGUGAAAUGCGUAGAGAUCGGGAGGAAUACCAGUGGCGAAGGCGGCCUUCUGGACUGACACUGACGCUGAGGUGCGAAAGCGUGGGUAGCAAACAGGAUUAGAUACCCCUGUAGUC
This 465-nucleotide ribosomal RNA is filed under the name Vreelandella stevensii. RNAcentral's name for it is "partial 16S ribosomal RNA". It matches the Rfam family "Bacterial small subunit ribosomal RNA", at positions 338 to 795 of the family's 1533-position model. The record is from RNAcentral. Lineage: Bacteria; Pseudomonadati; Pseudomonadota; Gammaproteobacteria; Oceanospirillales; Halomonadaceae.